This 950-nucleotide small RNA is filed under the name Pan troglodytes (chimpanzee). Its description in RNAcentral is "retained intron". The record is from RNAcentral. Lineage: Eukaryota; Metazoa; Chordata; Mammalia; Primates; Hominidae.
CAGCGAGACCCCUUCCAGUCCUCACAUUCUAGGAUCCCACAAACCUGCAGAACUGAUUUAAUCGGUGGUGUUAUUUUUAGUCUUCAGCAUGGGAAACAAUUCUUAUGGGCAAUGUGGAAGAAAGGUGGUCGAAAAUGAAAUUUACAGUGAAAGUCACAGAGUCCACAGGAUGCAGGACUUCGAUGGCCAGGUGGUCCAGGUCGCCUGUGGUCAGGAUCAUAGUCUUUUCCUGACGGAUAAAGGAGAAGUCUAUUCUUGUGGAUGGGGUGCUGAUGGGCAAACAGGUCUGGGUCACUACAAUAUCACCAGCUCGCCCACCAAGCUGGGUGGAGACCUGGCGGGAGUGAACGUUAUCCAAGUUGCCACCUACGGUGAUUGCUGCCUGGCCGUGUCCGCCGACGGAGGACUUUUUGGUUGGGGAAACUCGGAGUACCUGCAGCUGGCCUCUGUCACGGACUCCACACAGGUGAAUGUGCCCCGCUGCUUACACUUCUCAGGAGUGGGGAAGGUGCGACAGGCUGCGUGCGGUGGCACGGGCUGUGCAGUGUUAAACGGAGAAGGACAUGUUUUUGUCUGGGGCUAUGGAAUUCUUGGGAAAGGUCCAAACCUAGUGGAAAGUGCCGUCCCCGAAAUGAUUCCACCCACUCUCUUUGGCUUGACGGAGUUCAACCCAGAAAUCCAGGUUUCCCGCAUCCGAUGUGGACUCAGCCACUUUGCUGCACUGACCAACAAAGGAGAGCUGUUUGUAUGGGGCAAGAACAUCCGAGGGUGCCUGGGAAUCGGUCGCCUGGAGGACCAGUAUUUCCCAUGGAGGGUGACGAUGCCUGGGGAGCCUGUGGACGUGGCAUGUGGCGUGGACCACAUGGUGACCUUGGCCAAGUCAUUCAUCUAAACCUCCCUCACCUGCUUGGGCGGCCCCGUCCCGGGAACCACUGGCACUCCUUGGCAGA